UACGAAGGGGGCUAGCGUUGCUCGGAAUUACUGGGCGUAAAGCGCACGUAGGCGGCUUUCUAAGUCGGGGGUGGAAUCCUGGAGCUCAACUCCAGAACUGCCUUCGAUACUGGAGAGCUCGAGUCCGGGAGAGGUGAGUGGAACUGCGAGUGUAGAGGUGAAAUUCGUAGAUAUUCGCAAGAACACCAGUGGCGAAGGCGGCUCACUGGCCCGGUACUGACGCUGAGGUGCGAAAGCGUGGGGAGCAAACAGG
RNAcentral lists this ribosomal RNA (253 nucleotides) under uncultured bacterium. Its description in RNAcentral is "partial 16S ribosomal RNA". It matches the Rfam family "Bacterial small subunit ribosomal RNA", at positions 524 to 776 of the family's 1533-position model. The record is from RNAcentral.